Molecule: ribosomal RNA, 254 nt
Filed under: uncultured bacterium
Lineage: Bacteria
Description: partial 16S ribosomal RNA
Rfam family: Bacterial small subunit ribosomal RNA
Source: RNAcentral
CACGUAGGGACCAAGCGUUGUCCGGAUUUAUUGGGCGUAAAGAGCUCGUAGGCGGUUUGGUAAGUCGGGUGUGAAAACUCAGGGCUUAACCCUGAGACGCCACCCGAUACUGCCAUGACUUGAGUCCGGUAGGGGAGUGGGGAAUUCCUGGUGUAGCGGUGAAAUGCGCAGAUAUCAGGAGGAACACCGGUGGCGAAGGCGCCACUCUGGGCCGGUACUGACGCUGAGGAGCGAAAGCGUGGGUAGCAAACAGG